UUGAACGCUGGCGGCAUGCCUUACACAUGCAAGUCGAACGGCAGCACGGGUGCUUGCACCUGGUGGCGAGUGGCGAACGGGUGAGUAAUACAUCGGAACAUGUCCUGUAGUGGGGGAUAGCCCGGCGAAAGCCGGAUUAAUACCGCAUACGAUCUACGGAUGAAAGCGGGGGACCUUCGGGCCUCGCGCUAUAGGGUUGGCCGAUGGCUGAUUAGCUAGUUGGUGGGGUAAAGGCCUACCAAGGCGACGAUCAGUAGCUGGUCUGAGAGGACGACCAGCCACACUGGGACUGAGACACGGCCCAGACUCCUACGGGAGGCAGCAGUGGGGAAUUUUGGACAAUGGGCGAAAGCCUGAUCCAGCAAUGCCGCGUGUGUGAAGAAGGCCUUCGGGUUGUAAAGCACUUUUGUCCGGAAAGAAAUCCUUGGCUCUAAUACGGUCGGGGGAUGACGGUACCGGAAGAAUAAGCACCGGCUAACUACGUG
Molecule: ribosomal RNA, 485 nt
Filed under: uncultured bacterium
Lineage: Bacteria
Description: partial 16S ribosomal RNA
Rfam family: Bacterial small subunit ribosomal RNA
Source: RNAcentral